AUUCAGCUAACUAGUUCAAAAUGGGACGAAACGCACGUCCUAAAU
This 45-nucleotide non-coding RNA is filed under the name Schistosoma mansoni. Lineage: Eukaryota; Metazoa; Platyhelminthes; Trematoda; Strigeidida; Schistosomatidae. The record is from RNAcentral.